Molecule: ribosomal RNA, 674 nt
Filed under: uncultured cyanobacterium
Lineage: Bacteria; Bacillati; Cyanobacteriota
Description: bacterial SSU rRNA
Rfam family: Bacterial small subunit ribosomal RNA
Source: RNAcentral
CGUGAGAAUCUGCCUUAAGGAUUGGGACAACAGUGGGAAACCGCUGCUAAUACCAAAUAUGCCUUUUAGUGAAACGGGUAAAACCGCCUUAAGAUGAGCUCGCGUCUGAUUAGCUAGUUGGUGUGGUAAGAGCGCACCAAGGCAACGAUCAGUAGCUGGUCUGAGAGGACGACCAGCCACACUGGGACUGAGACACGGCCCAGACUCCUACGGGAGGCAGCAGUGAGGAAUUUUCCGCAAUGGGCGAAAGCCUGACGGAGCAAUACCGCGUGAGGGAGGAAGGUUCUUGGAUUGUAAACCUCUUUUCUCAGAGAAGAAUAAUGACGGUAUCUGAGGAAUAAGCAUCGGCUAACUCCGUGCCAGCAGCCGCGGUAAUACGGAGGAUGCAAGCGUUAUCCGGAAUGAUUGGGCGUAAAGGGUCUGUAGGUGGUUGUUCAAGUCUGCUGUUAAAGCGUCUGGCUUAACCAGAUAAAGGCGGUGGAAACUGAACGACUAGAGUGCGGUAGGGGUAGAGGGAAUUCCCAGUGUAGCGGUGAAAUGCGUAGAUCUUGGGAAGAACACCUGUGGCGAAAGCGCUCUACUGGACCGCGACUGACACUGAUGGACGAAAGCUAGGGGAGCGAAUGGGAUUAGAUACCCCAGUAGUCCUAGCCGUAAACGAUGGAUACUAGGCG